GCGAACGCUGGCGGCGUGCUUAACACAUGCAAGUCGAACGAUGAAGCCCUUCGGGGUGGAUUAGUGGCGAACGGGUGAGUAACACGUGGGCAAUCUGCCCUUCACUCUGGGACAAGCCCUGGAAACGGGGUCUAAUACCGGAUAACACUCUGUCCCGCAUGGGACGGGGUUAAAAGCUCCGGCGGUGAAGGAUGAGCCCGCGGCCUAUCAGCUUGUUGGUGGGGUGAUGGCCUACCAAGGCGACGACGGGUAGCCGGCCUGAGAGGGCGACCGGCCACACUGGGACUGAGACACGGCCCAGACUCCUACGGGAGGCAGCAGUGGGGAAUAUUGCACAAUGGGCGAAAGCCUGAUGCAGCGACGCCGCGUGAGGGAUGACGGCCUUCGGGUUGUAAACCUCUUUCAGCAGGGAAGAAGCGAAAGUGACGGUACCUGCAGAAGAAGCGCCGGCUAACUACGUGCCAGCAGCCGCGGUAAUACGUAGGGCGCAAGCGUUGUCCGGAAUUAUUGGGCGUAAAGAGCUCGUAGGCGGCCUUGUCACGUCGGAUGUGAAAGCCCGGGGCUUAACCCCGGGUCUGCAUUCGAUACGGGCUAGCUAGAGUGUGGUAGGGGAGAUCGGAAUUCCUG
Molecule: ribosomal RNA, 627 nt
Filed under: Streptomyces sp. E115
Lineage: Bacteria; Bacillati; Actinomycetota; Actinomycetes; Kitasatosporales; Streptomycetaceae
Description: bacterial SSU rRNA
Rfam family: Bacterial small subunit ribosomal RNA
Source: RNAcentral